UAAUCUACCUGGCAGGGGAGAUACCAUGAUCACUAAGGUGGUUUUCACACCGCGAGGCUUAUUCAUUGCACUCUGGAUGUGCUGACCUCUGCAGUUUUCCCAAAUGUGGGAAACUUGACCACGUAAUUUGUCGUUGUGGGGGUCUGUGUUCACGCUUUCCCCUG
Molecule: small nuclear RNA, 164 nt
Organism: Camelus dromedarius (Arabian camel)
Lineage: Eukaryota; Metazoa; Chordata; Mammalia; Artiodactyla; Camelidae
Gene: U1
Rfam family: U1 spliceosomal RNA
About the family: U1 is a small nuclear RNA (snRNA) component of the spliceosome (involved in pre-mRNA splicing). Its 5' end forms complementary base pairs with the 5' splice junction, thus defining the 5' donor site of an intron. There are significant differences in sequence and secondary structure between metazoan and yeast U1 snRNAs, the latter being much longer (568 nucleotides as compared to 164 nucleotides in human).
Source: Ensembl